CCCUACGGGGCGCAGCAGGCGCGGAACCUCUACAAUGCGCGCAAGCGUGAUAGGGGAACCCCAAGUGCUUUCACAACGAAAGCUUUUUUAGUGCGUAAAAAACACUUAGAAUAAGGGCUGGGCAAGACCAGUGCCAGCCUCCGCGGUAACACUGGCAGCUCGAGUGGUAGCCGCGUUUAUUGGGCUUAAAGCGUCCGUAGUCGGUUUGACAAGUUCCCUAUGAAAUCCUAUCGCUUAACGAUAGGGCUUGUAGAGAAUACUAUCAAACUUGGAGUCGGGAGGGGUUAGGAGUAUUCCUGAGGUAGCGGUGAAAUGUUAUAAUCUCAGGAGGACUACCUAUGGCGAAGGCACCUAACUGGAACGAGCUCGACGAUGAGGGACGAAAGCUAGGGGAGCAAACCGGAUUAGAUACCCGGGUAGUCCUAGCCGUAAACGAUGUGGGCUGAGUGUUUCUUGAAUUUAGUGUUCAAGAAGUGCUGAAGGGAAACCGUUAAGCCCAUCGCCUGGGGAGUACGGUCGCAAGGCUGAAACUUAAAGGAAUUGGCGGGGGAGCAC
Molecule: ribosomal RNA, 555 nt
Filed under: uncultured archaeon
Lineage: Archaea
Description: bacterial SSU rRNA
Rfam family: Archaeal small subunit ribosomal RNA
Source: RNAcentral